AAGCAAAACAUUGUUAAGCAGACGGCGUGUCAAAAGGGCAAGAGAUUCAAGCAAACAAGCAAAACAAAACAAAAAAACGCUUUUUAUGUGCUCUCGUAUAUUGAUAGGUGCAAACGAUGCUCUUUUACGAUGCACGAUUGUUACUAAAAUGUGUAGAUGCGUGAUUAGGGGACGUUUAGUAAACGGAGCACCGAGAACGUAUGACUAUGUCCUUCUUUGUUUUCUGAUGCAACAGACACGCGCACCAACAAUGGCUGCAAACAAUGUAAGCAAAACAGUGCUAAGAACAGUGCUCUUCCCCAGCGCUUACGCCACAGAAACGGACACUAUUACUUCCUUGGACGUGUGUGCACCCCUUUGUCAUGUUGUGUAAGAGAGUAACAGUGGACGGAAGCUAGUAACAACAAUCUUUAAAAACAAAAAAAAACCAACCCGUUCCCCCCUCAACCAAACAACUCUAGAACGCCAAUCUUUUUUAAAUGUACGCGGGCAGUGCAAAAAAUGAAGAUGGAAAAAUUAUAAGAAGAGAAAAGGAUGAAAGUAAUGAAAAGAAAGAGAGAGAGUAAGAGAGUAGCAAGUAAAGGAAAACAAACAAACAAAACAAACAAAUCAACAAUCUCUGGAAAAAGGGAGGAGUGUGUGUGUAAGAGAGAUAAAAAACAAAAAUACAAAAAACAAAAACAUCUAAUAACAAAAUCCAAUCGGUCAAUGUGAAAGCGUAGCAUGUGAAACAUGUACAAAUUUACUAUUAAUAAUAAUAAUAAUAAUAUUAACACUAAAAAACCUAUGAUAACGAAGUAAUGCUAAUAAUUAACUAAGCGUAACUACUGCUGCAGUAACAAACACAAGUGAAGGUGGUGGCGGUAGCUGCUGCAGGGGAACAGCGUUUGAUGCACAGCGUCGCGAGAGGAGAGGGGGGUCGUUUUUUCAGAGUGGUUUUGUUGCUUAGCAAUAUUGUAUAAAGCACUUACAGGGUUUUCCAGUAGUACUUAUAGCUGUGCGACACUUGAUUGAUUUCUUCUUGCGUGAAAUGAACUUAAUGUAAUGGGAAUUGGACUCUACAGCACCGUUGUUAGAAAAAAAAAAUCUAAUAGGAAGGAGGCUGUCCAAAAAGUCCAAUUUCCAUCAUAUGAAGUUCAUUUCCUAUAAGAAAGUGUCAAGGAAGUGUACCACAACUAUGGGAACCUCUGGAGACACCCUGUAAACAUGUUAACACACCGUACACAAACAAAGCAUGCUGUUUUCGAGAUGUUGGCAACAUCCUUUUUGACUAUCAUUCUAUGGGGUGUGGCAUGAAGGUAAGGUUCGGAGUGUAUUGUUAUGAUAGAGACACGAUAACUCUUCCUACUUCAUGUCCCCCAUUCGUUGUGCUGUGCUGUGUGUGUGUGUGUGUUAAAUUGCAUUCUCAAUAUUUCUACCACUACUCUGCGGAACACGAUCCUCUUUAACUCUUGUCUGGUGAAUCUUCGCUGUGCAGCCUUCGCAGCACCGCCCCUCCACUCAAGGAUAACAACAAUAACGAAUGAUGAAAGCGAAUGUGGUGAUCUUUAGCCAGUUAGUUGGACAGAGUUGUAAAAUGCAUGUGAUGAAGCGACAGUGAGGAAGGAAAGCAAGUGAAAGCAAACCCCCCGCCCAUCUACAGUAAAUCGAAGCAAAAGGCGUGUGAAAAACGACGGGAUUAUUGUGUGGUGCGAGUGAUCAUAAGCGAGCGCGGAGUCGGUGAGCAAGACCAAAGGCUUAGGAAUGUUUCGAUUUAUGGCGUUUUUUUUUUCUUUUCAAUUUUCCACCGGCAAAGCACAAUAGUUAAAGGCGCGUGUCAGAACGGGCCACAUGGAGGAUAUGUUAAGAAACAUUUUGGAGGUGAAAAUGAAACAAUUUGUCGAAGCAGCAGCAGCAGCAGCAGUAGCAGAAGCGUCCAACGUUAGUGUUAGAAGCGAGAAGUGCAUAUAUCGAAGCGUUAGUGGAUAAUCUAUUUUAUAAUUGCGUGCGUCUGUCGGCCAGCGGGUGGUGCUGUAAGAAAGAGAGAAGGAGAGAUUGUGUGAAGGCGGAGGGAAAAGGGUUAAAACUUAAUUUUCCCAUUUUGUCAAAUACCUCUAUACAAGAAAUGCGCAUUUGUUGGUUCUCAGUUUCGUUUGUAAGAGUUUUGCUGCUGUUUUUUUGUGUUUUGCUCCCUAGUAGCAGUAGUAGUAGUAGUAGUUGUGUACGUGUACCACCUAUUCCGCUACUUUUUACCGUAAAACGGGGAGUCGACAGAAAAUAAGGAUAAUAGGCACACUCAACACAUUUAAAAUAAACACACACACACAAAACAAAUAUUACUCGUGUAAUCUAAGUUGCAGUUUAGGGAUAAGUUUAUUUGUUUUUUUUCUUCUGCGAAAUGUAUGUGAUUGAAGAGCGGGAGGUGUGGAUAGCAGGAUGAUGAUAAACAGUACAAGCUAUACAUGGGGGGAGGAAGCAAAACAUUUAUGCAGAAAAGCAGCAGCAGCAACAGCACACCACACGGAGUGGUCUAUAGUUAGCGCUAGGCAUCUGUUUUAGGCGAUGAAUUAUGUUACAAAUGAAUUUAACCACACACACACAUACACAUACACUUACAUAACAAACAGAAGCAUAAGAUUUAUACAUAGCCACAUUUAAAGGAACUAACAUAGUACAUGCAUGCAUAUAGAAUACUUGAGAGAAAAACGGAAUUCUCGUUUCAUAUUGUUUGGGCCGAUCAGUUUAUAUACAUUAACAGCAGCAGCCUGAGUUUGGAUAUGAUUGGUUGUUUUUCCUAAAAUUCCCUCGAUGUAGGAGUAAAAUUUGCAAAAAAACGACAGUCGGAAACAAGAUCACCCAAAAUAAAAAUGGCUUGUUUAAGGGAAAAAGAAAUUGUUAAGAAAAACAAAAACACACGUACACACUAGGGUAACAAAUAUAAAAAAAAACAAACAAACAAAGAAAAAGGACAAACUCACAUAAAAUACACUAACAAAGCAAAACAAACAAACAAAUAGGACAGAGACACAUAAACAAGUACAUUAACAAAGUAAAACAAACCAGACAGGACAACCACAUAAACAAAAUACACUAAACAAAACAAACAAAUUGCAAUUAAUUGUGAUGCACUUGUGGUGGGAAAUUGUGGGAGGGGAAGAAUUGUUGUAAACACGGGUAGAGAGAGAGAGUGGUGAAGUGUUGUAGUAGGGAGGAUAGGGAAGAAACUGGUUAAAGCUGUGCGGUUUAGAAUGAUGCUAGACAGUUUCUGCUCGUAGGGUAAUGAGUAAGGACCAUUCCCCCAAACUCAUAAGUUUAUGUAUAAUGCACACUUACACUCACACACACGAGCACGCCUGAAACUACUCGUAAUGGUCGAAAGUGCAUCUGUCGAAUUUUAUCUUUAACAACCUGUAUGUGUAUGUUGCUGCACAGAUAAUUGUAUGUCUCUCUCACUCAUUCUUUUUCACGCCAGCUUAGAUCUUUUAUUUGGGGAGUGGUAGUGCAUUUGGAGGACGGCGGAGAACAGUGAAGCCACACACUUUUUGAAAGUUUCAACUUUUGCAGUCAAUUUUGUGCAUAUAUAGGAAGAGUAGUAGAAUAGUACGUUAACACAUGGUGUUAACACUUUGUAAUACUCUCAAUCUUUGGAAUGUAUGCAACACACGGGUGUCUGUGUGUGUGUGCUUUUGUGUAGCAUGUUCUAUUAAGGGGUUUGGAAAGUAGAGAAGAGUAUGCACUUGUAAAGCCGAAGGUUCUUGCAACGAAAGAAGCUUUCCUUUUUAAAUCUUAAUACAGCCAAGCGACGUGUGAUAAUACGCGAAGGGUUUGUUCUACUUUGCUUUUGGGCAUUGUUUUAUAACGAUGAAAAUCCAUAAAAAAUAGGCACUGUUUGUUGUCUUUUAUCCUUCCUCUAUAUUGAGUGACACACAGAAGGAGAGAGUGGCACUUUCCUUUCGUGCAGUACUUUUAACCGCUUCCUUUGAUUGCACAGCAGCAACAUGCCAAACCGAAUGUUCUUCGUCUCUGUGGUUACUGUUUUUUUUUGUCAACCACCGAAAGGAUGUUGUUCUCGUAUCUUUGUACAAUGGGAGCUACUACUGCGGCUGGUUCAUACAAAUGAUUGUUGUGAUAAAAUAAGAAGAUAAAAACACAAACACUUACAGACACAAAUACACACAAAAACAAAACGAGAAAAAAAAAAUCAGGAAAAGAAGCAACAUUUUGCAAACACAUACAUCCCUAGCAUGGAUAAUGAAGAAGAAGCGUACGGCACUGAUAGAGAAAAAAAAUCGGGCGAAAAAAAAAACAAAGAAAAGAACGUAAGAGUAAUCAAAAACGUAACGUAAACCAAUUCCUUCCGGAUGCGCCAAAUGAAACCGCUCAAUGCGGAACAAAUUACUACUACUACUACUACAACUACAAGUACUAACUAACUAACUAACUAUAUCCCCCGGAAAGAGCACCACACCACAGUCCUGGAGCAAUUAAAGCAAAACAGAAGAAGAAAAGAGAAGAAAACACAACACUUAAAAUAGUAAUGCUAAACACAGCUUAAUAUGGACAAACACAGGAGAAAAAAAUUGUGCACAUGUGGUCUAAUAGAGAGUAGUAGUUGUAGAAAGCAGAAAAGCAUAAAACAAAUCAUCAAUAUUGAUAUACUCACCCAGGAAACAAAAACAUACAUACAAAAGGAGAACAGAGAUGAAGAAGCGCAAGACCAGUUUAUAGAGGAGAACCGUUGUGAAUCGUACCGAAAAUGAGAUUCGUUGCUGGUUAUGUGCUUUUUUUAUUAAAAGGAAACAAUGGGUAAUUUGUUGUAUCACAACUCUAAUUCAUAGUUGUCCCACCACACACACGCGCGAAUUGCAGACAAACAAACAAAUGGUGGGAUAUAAAAUUGAAGAAAAACAAACAAACAGCAGCACACGUGAGAAAGGCGUGAAAAGUUACUCUUUUUUUUGUCGAUGAAUGGAAAUACAAAAAGAAGAAGAAAAAGAAAAGAAAAUAGCACAUGUGAAAAUGCAUGAUGAAAAUACAAAAAAUACACAAAAGAGCAGGAAAAUUGCCGAGAAUAGAACCACAACAGUAGAGAUAUGUGAAGCAAAAGAAGGAAAGGAAGGAAGUGAGAAAAUAAAUAGUAGGCAAGAAUGGAAUGGAAUGGAAGCAGUUGAGUAAAACAACAAAUUAAACAACAAAUUAAAGAUUAAUGUGAUUGUAUUGUACAUAAAUUUGUAUUAUAUAAAGCGAAUAAGAAAAUGUGAAAUAAGAAAAUCCAACAAAAUUAAUGAGCGUA
Long non-coding RNA from Anopheles coluzzii, 5272 nucleotides. RefSeq lists it as uncharacterized. The transcript has 2 exons. Lineage: Eukaryota; Metazoa; Arthropoda; Insecta; Diptera; Culicidae. The record is from RefSeq and is a predicted model, not a curated record.